RNAcentral lists this long non-coding RNA (744 nucleotides) under Salvia miltiorrhiza (redroot sage). RNAcentral describes it as "long non-coding RNA (SMIL_LNC004085)". Lineage: Eukaryota; Viridiplantae; Streptophyta; Magnoliopsida; Lamiales; Lamiaceae. The record is from RNAcentral.
UCGACGGAGACCGCCCCCUCUCUCCUCAACAUCUCUCUCUCCCUUCUGACCCUCCCUCAUCUCUCGCCUUCCUCCAGAUCCAGCGCCCCCUCCAGCCACCCCUGCCGCCGCCGCCCGCCGUGGCGCAGGCGGCGCCGUCGAGCCGGUUCUCCCCUUCGGCUCGGCAGCACCCACUCACCCCAAAAUUUCCAUCUCACUCUACCUCAAAUUCUGAUUUCUUUUCAGUUGCAAUGAAAAUAGAAAAGAUUAUUCAUUUAGGGCUCUUAGAUUAGUUAAAUUGUUGAUGAUGGCAUUUGAUGUUUAUGCGUGACUCAAAAUGUUGGGUAUUUGGAUUUAAGAAGAAUGAUUGUGAAAUGAAUGAAUGAUAGAAUUGUAUAUUGAAAACAAAGUGUAAGAAUUUUGCAGAAUUAAAUCAAUUACCAGUUGAAGAUCUCUGUAGAGGAAUAUAGAGGGAUGAGAAGUCUGCUGAAGCAAGGCUUGUUUUUGGUGAAAUUUUUAGAAAGAUGGGAUUUGAUCAGCUGAUGGGUGGGUGAGUUUAAAUAGAGUGUGUUGAUGAUAGGAUUUUUUUUUUGUUUGUUUCUUAGAUAAAUUAGGUAAUUAAUAAAAAAUUUAAAUUUUUUAUGAUGGUGAAAUUUAGAACUAGGUAGUGUGCGUGUGUUGGCCAAGCGAUAAAGGGUUAAUGCCUAAGGCCAAAAGUUUUUUAUUCGAGUCUUCGAUCCUAUAGCACGAUCUUUAAAAUUCUUU